AACGCGAAGAACCUUACCUACCCUUGACAUGUCAGGAAGCCUGGUUAAGCGCUAGGCGUGCCGAAAGGAACCUGAACACAGGUGCUGCAUGGCUGUCGUCAGCUCGUGUCGUGAGAUGUUGGGUUAAGUCCCGUAACGAGCGCAACCCUUGUCCUUCGUUGCCACCCAGAAAUGGGGAACUCGAAGGAGACUGCCGGUGAUAAACCGGAGGAAGGUGGGGAUGACGUCAAGUCAUCAUGGCCUUUAUGGGUAGGGCUACACACGUGCUACAAUGGGGCGAGACAGAGGGAAGCGAACCUGCGAAGGGGAGCAAAUCCUAGAAAACGCCUCGUAGUCCGGAUCGGAGUCUGCAACUCGACUCCGUGAAGUUGGAAUCGCUAGUAAUCGCGGAUCAGAAUGUCGCGGUGAAUACGUUCCCGGGCCUUGUACACACCGACUGUAC
This 442-nucleotide ribosomal RNA is filed under the name uncultured bacterium. RNAcentral describes it as "bacterial SSU rRNA". It matches the Rfam family "Bacterial small subunit ribosomal RNA", at positions 958 to 1399 of the family's 1533-position model. The record is from RNAcentral.